This is a long non-coding RNA of Dinoponera quadriceps, 1317 nucleotides long. RefSeq lists it as uncharacterized. Lineage: Eukaryota; Metazoa; Arthropoda; Insecta; Hymenoptera; Formicidae. The transcript has 5 exons. The record is from RefSeq and is a predicted model, not a curated record.
UGAAGGUAAUUCAUUCAAAUUUUAGUCGUUUACAUCAAAUGUAGGCUAUUCUAUUUAUAUCACUGGUAGUAACGUUCUAAUCCACACCUUUGAUAUAUGCUUCACAAUACAAUAGAUUACAUUAUCAGGAAGUCUGAUAUCAUAAAUUCAAUACGCGCAGUAGGAAAGAAAUUAAAGACUCGGAGUAGAAAAUAAAUUAAAUGCUCGCUGCAUAUGGCAGAUAGUAUAAAUAAUGUAACGAGCAAAAGUGGAACAAGUGAUACGUGAGGUUCGCAAAUGUUGAGUUAAUCCAAAUAAUUAAGAAGAAAGAAUCCAAAUAAGAGAAAAAAAAUUGAACACAGGAGGGUCGAUUGUAAUUUGAUUCAAUUUAUAGCAAUAUCCGUGUUGCUCUAUCGUGUUAUUGCAAGAUGAAAUUUUUCGCCGGUGUUUCUGCUAAUGCUAAUGAUACUCAAUUUGAUAUCACUGAAUUCUUGUCAAAAUAGAAUGUCACAGAUGUACGACAGCGAAGUAUCCGUGCCACGCGAAUAUGUGGAUAUGCCUAUAAGAUCAUGUGCACCGGGUUUCAAAACGGAUCGUUAUGGAAUAUGUCGUGAACGCGUUAGAUAACUGAUAGGUUCAAAGACAUUUCAGCAAUGUCAGCUGAAAAAAAGAUGCAAGAUGGAAUUCUAAGGUACGAUUUGCCAAUUUUCACCCGAUAUUGACUCACAGGCCGACAACUGGCGAUAUCAUGGCAAACCGAUUAUUAUUCAUUCUCUCAGCUGUGACGCGGAAUCGGCUCAGGUAAGAAUUAUCAAUUCUUGUUCGUUGCCGAGUCACAAGCCGGCGUCGGCAGGACUACAACAACCGACAUUCUCUACUCGAUGACGACGCGACGAUGUCGGCCCAAGGAUGCUAUUCUGUACAUGCCUGCCGGACAACUAUCAGACCGUCUUCGGACUCCGGAAAUAGUGUAGAACACCAUAACGGUUGGUGUUUCCACCAAAAACCGCUGUCCAUUGCGACUUUGAAAGAGUGAAUUCGCAUCUUCGAAGCAAUUAGUCUCUUCCUGAUCCUCGACGAGAACAGUCAUAUCUUUUCUGUUCGUGCAACGCCCUAUUAUGAAUCUGACUAAAAGAACAACUGGAAACUCGUGUCCCGAAAGUCACAAGUUGAAUUCUCAGGGAAUAUGUCGUGAACGCAUUAAAUAAUUGACAGGCUUGAAGAUAUCAACAUUUCGGUAAUUUUGAUUGAAAACUAGAAGCGAGAUGGAACUCCAAAAUAUCGUCGACAACUGCAAAAUGACAAAAAUAUUCGGCAUAGCAACGAAUUUUUAAUACA